Long non-coding RNA from Ornithodoros turicata, 479 nucleotides. RefSeq lists it as uncharacterized. Lineage: Eukaryota; Metazoa; Arthropoda; Arachnida; Ixodida; Argasidae. The record is from RefSeq and is a predicted model, not a curated record. The transcript has 5 exons.
GGCUAUCCACCUAGAACUGCUCCUUCAAUCCUCACAUCUCUGCAGUCUCCAGGGCAGCAACAUAGACAGGGAAUGGCAGGACAACGCUCCUCAUCUGUGACAUCUACUCCAGUGCCUACUGCUUGUUCAUGGCCACAUGAACAGUUGAUGGAAGAAUAUUGUCGAGUGGUCCUUUGCAGCCUCCUGAGCAAACAGACGUGCGGAUCUCAGAAGCUGGCUGCUCACCCGAGCCAUCUGCUGCUUCGGUGCCAAAUGCUCCUACACGGCCAACAAAACCAACACGAAAAGCAUCUACUUUUUCAGUGUCGAGUGCUCCUUCACGGCCAUCUAAACCAUUGUCACAAUAUGAGUUCCAGGAGCAAGUCCUCGUGCAAUUUAGAGUACUGCGUGCAACAUUAAUGGAACAUGGCGCACUACUUGAAGGUCUAGUGCCACUACGGACCACUCUUAUUGAGGAAACAAAGCUCUUGCCUCAGCCA